GAAGCCGGAAUCGCUAGUAAUCGCGGAUCAGAAUGCCGCGGUGAAUACGUUCCCGGGUCUUGUACACACCGCCCGUCACACCAUGGGAGUCGGAAAUGCCCGAAGCCGGUGACCCAACCCGAAAGGGAGGGAGCCGUCGAAGGCAGGUCGGAUGACUGGGGUGAAGUCGUAACAAGGUAGC
Molecule: ribosomal RNA, 181 nt
Filed under: uncultured bacterium
Lineage: Bacteria
Description: partial 16S ribosomal RNA
Rfam family: Bacterial small subunit ribosomal RNA
Source: RNAcentral